ACGCUCGACACCUACGGGGCAGCAGUGGGGAAUAUUGCACAAUGGGGGAAACCCUGAUGCAGCGACGCCGCGUGAGUGAAGAAGUAUUUCGGUAUGUAAAGCUCUAUCAGCAGGGAAGAAGAUGACGGUACCUGAGUAAGAAGCCCCGGCUAACUACGUGACAGCAGCCGCGGUAAUCUGAGCGGGCUGGCAAGGC
RNAcentral lists this ribosomal RNA (196 nucleotides) under uncultured bacterium. RNAcentral describes it as "partial 16S ribosomal RNA". It matches the Rfam family "Bacterial small subunit ribosomal RNA", at positions 326 to 539 of the family's 1533-position model. The record is from RNAcentral.